This 492-nucleotide ribosomal RNA is filed under the name uncultured bacterium. RNAcentral's name for it is "partial 16S ribosomal RNA". It matches the Rfam family "Bacterial small subunit ribosomal RNA", at positions 29 to 507 of the family's 1533-position model. The record is from RNAcentral.
AGUGAACGCUGGCGGUAGGCCUAACACAUGCAAGUCGAACGGCAGCACAGUAAGAGCUUGCUCUUACCGGUUGCGAGUGGCGUACGGGUGAGGAAUACAUCGGACUCUACUUUUUCGUGGGGGAUAACGUAGGGAAACCUACGCUCAUACCGCAUACGACCUACGGGUGAAAGCAGGGGAUCUUCUGACCUUGCGCGAUUGAAUGAGCCGCUGUCGGAUUAGCUAGUUGGCGGGGUAAACGCCCACCAAGUCGGCGAUCGGUAGAUUGUCUGAGAGGAGGAUCAGCGACACGGGAACUGAGACACGGUCCAGAGGCCUACGGGAGGGAGCAGUGGGGAAUAUUGGACAGCGGGGGCAAGUCUGAUACAGCCAUAGGGAGUGGGUGAAGAAGGCGUUGGGGGUGUAAAGCCCUUUUGUGGGGAAAGAAAAGCAGCAGGUUAAUACCACGCGGUUCUGACGGUAAUCAAAGAAGAAGCACCGGCUAACUUCGUG